CGGGCGCGGCGAACGAUCUAAGUUCCUUGGAACGGGGCGUCAUAGAGGGUGAGAAUCCCGUAUGUGAUCGGCGACUAAGCCCAUGUGAAACUCCUUCGACGAGUCGAGUUGUUUGGGAAUGCAGCUCAAAAUGGGUGGUAAAUUUCAUCUAAAGCUAAAUACCGGCCAGAGACCGAUAGCGCACAAGUAGAGUGAUCGAAAGAUGAAAAGCACUUUGGAAAGAGAGUCAAAAAGUACGUGAAAUUGUUGAAAGGGAAGCGCUUGCAACCAGACCUGCCCGCGGGCGAUCAACCGUCCCCCGGGGGCGGUGCACUCGAACCGCGAUCAGGCCAGCAUCGGUUGGGGCGGCCGGAUAAAGGCCUCGGGAACGUGGCUCCUUUCGGGGAGUGUUAUAGCCCUUGGCGCAAUGCGGCCCGCCUGGACCGAGGACCGCGCUUCGGCUAGGAUGCUGGCGUAAUGGUUGUAAGCGGCCCGUCUUGAAACACGGACCAAGGAGUCUAACAUCUAUGCGAGUGUUUGGGUGUCAAACCCAUACGCGUAAUGAAAGUGAACGGAGGUGGGAACCCGCGAGGGCGCACCAUCGACCGAUCCAGAUGUCUUCGGAUGGAUUUGAGUACGAGCAUAGCUGUUGGGACCCGAAAGAUGGUGAACUAUGCCAGAAUAGGGUGAAGCCAGAGGAAACUCUGGU
Molecule: ribosomal RNA, 688 nt
Filed under: Gintarasiella aggregata
Lineage: Eukaryota; Fungi; Ascomycota; Lecanoromycetes; Teloschistales; Teloschistaceae
Description: eukaryotic LSU rRNA
Rfam family: Eukaryotic large subunit ribosomal RNA
Source: RNAcentral